UACGUAGGGGGCGAGCGUUGUCCGAAGUUACUGGGCGUAAAGCGCGCGUAGGCGGUCCUUUAAGUUGAUUGUGAAAUCUUCACGGCUCAACCGGAAAACUGCGGUCAAAACUGGGGGACUUGAGAUUGGGAGAGGGAAGUGGAAUUCCUGGUGUAGCGGUGAAAUGCGUAGAUAUCAGGAGGAACACCGAUGGCGAAGGCAGCUUCCUGGUCCAAUUCUGACGCUGAGGUGCGAAAGCGUGGGUAGCGAACGGGAUUAGAUACCCCGGUAGUCCACGCCGUAAACGAUGGAUACUAGGUGUUAGAGGUAUCGACCCCUCUAGUGCCGCAGCUAACGCAUUAAGUAUCCCGCCUGGGGAGUACGGCCGCAAGGUUGAA
This 377-nucleotide ribosomal RNA is filed under the name uncultured bacterium. RNAcentral describes it as "bacterial SSU rRNA". It matches the Rfam family "Bacterial small subunit ribosomal RNA", at positions 524 to 898 of the family's 1533-position model. The record is from RNAcentral.